RNAcentral lists this ribosomal RNA (484 nucleotides) under uncultured bacterium. RNAcentral describes it as "partial 16S ribosomal RNA". It matches the Rfam family "Bacterial small subunit ribosomal RNA", at positions 30 to 507 of the family's 1533-position model. The record is from RNAcentral.
AUUGAACGCUGGCGGAAUGCUUUACACAUGCAAGUCGAGCGGCAGCACGGGGGCAACCCUGGUGGCGAGCGGCGAACGGGUGAGUAAUACAUCGGAACAUGCCCAGUCGUGGGGGAUAACACUUCGAAAGAAGUGCUAAUACCGCAUACGUCCUGAGGGGGAAAGCGGGGGAUCGCAAGACCUCGCGCGAUUGGAGUGGCCGAUGUCAGAUUAGCUAGUUGGUUGGGUAAAGGCCUACCAAGGCAACGAUCUGUAGCUGGUCUGAGAGGAUGAUCAGCCACACUGGGACUGAGACACGGCCCAGACUCCUACGGGAGGCAGCAGUGGGGAAUUUUGGACAAUGGGGGCAACCCUGAUCCAGCCAUUCCGCGUGAGUGAAGAAGGCCUUCGGGUUGUAAAGCUCUUUCGGCAGGAACGAAACGGUGAGCUCUAACAUAGCUUGCUAAUGACGGUACCUGAAGAAGAAGCACCGGCUAACUACGUG